Long non-coding RNA from Manis pentadactyla (Chinese pangolin), 611 nucleotides. RefSeq lists it as uncharacterized. The transcript has 2 exons. NCBI's taxonomy places the organism in Eukaryota, Metazoa, Chordata, Mammalia, Pholidota, Manidae. The record is from RefSeq and is a predicted model, not a curated record.
GUCACUUCCCAGAAUGGUGUCCUUCCCUUCUAAUGAAUUACAGAUAUAUAUUAUACAGCCAAGGAUCUGGGUUGGAGAGAAUCAGCUGCCUUUCAAAGUGGAAAUUCCAAAGACUCUGGUUGCUGAACUUAAGAUGAGGAAGUUUUGAUGUUUAAAGUUUAAAAGAAGACAUGUUUUAUCAUUAUCUCUACUCUGUGCAAAAUACAUCUCCCAGGCACUUACAUUAUAAGCCAGUAAGAAAUCAUUGCAGGAUGGAGAGUUUGACCUGUGCCUUUUGUUUUAGGACAUUUCAUGCAGUUAUUAUCAAAGGAAGUCUGUGCAACAGAGACGUAUAUGCUCCAUACGAGUCAACCCACUAUGUGCCUCUAAUAAUGUUACAUAUUCAAAUUCCUGCGUUUAUUGCUUUGCUAACAUAGCUUUGCAACUCACUCUUAAAAUUCAACACAGAGGAAAAUGCACAAAGGCCAAAAAGAUCUUGAAUGCGAAAUGACUUUCCUUCGUUCAUCAUGAGUGAACCCAUUUGAAUUAAGAAUUAUCAUUCCUUCGAAAAAUGGAAUUCAUUAUAUUACCUUAUUUUUUAAGAAGUCAAUAAAAACUUAUUCUACAGUAAA